GUUUUGCAUUUUCUGCAUAUCAUGUGUACCUGAUGUGCUGGAAUUGAACGGCAGUGAUUGUUAGGUGCAUCAAUUUACUUUUCCCAGUCCGAAAGAGAAAACCAUUUGUUUUUCUCUUUUAUUCCAAGAGAAUUUUUUCAAUGGUGGAUCCCAUACAUCACCACCAAAUUUCCUUGUAGUUCCCGUCUGCUUUUUUAACAUUUAUCUGAUCUUAACAAAGUCCACCAUGUUUAUCUCCA
Molecule: unclassified non-coding RNA, 239 nt
Filed under: Hevea brasiliensis (rubber tree)
Lineage: Eukaryota; Viridiplantae; Streptophyta; Magnoliopsida; Malpighiales; Euphorbiaceae
Source: RNAcentral